GCCUUAAUGCGGCUUCCGAACGGGAACUGUUGCAAGCCAGUACAAACGCAGAGCAGGGA
Molecule: non-coding RNA, 59 nt
Filed under: unclassified sequences
Source: RNAcentral